AGGACGCGGGGCCCCACCGGGUUACCAACUCCUAUCAAACUCCGAAUGCCGUGGACAUGGACUCCGGGAGACAGUGCACGAGCGAUAAUGUCCGUGCGCGAGAGGGAAAGAGCCCAGACCCUCGGCUAAGGCCCCGAAGUGCGGGCUAAGUGAGAAAGGAUGUGGGUGUGCAUUGACAACUGGGAGGUUGGCUUAGAAGCAGCCAUACCUUGAAAGAGUGCGUAAU
This 226-nucleotide ribosomal RNA is filed under the name Chloropicon mariensis. Its description in RNAcentral is "partial Bacterial large subunit ribosomal RNA". It matches the Rfam family "Bacterial large subunit ribosomal RNA", at positions 915 to 1138 of the family's 2925-position model. The record is from RNAcentral. Lineage: Eukaryota; Viridiplantae; Chlorophyta; Chloropicophyceae; Chloropicales; Chloropicaceae.